This 1729-nucleotide long non-coding RNA is filed under the name Homo sapiens (human). RNAcentral's name for it is "PREDICTED lncRNA (TCONS_00182896)". The record is from RNAcentral. Lineage: Eukaryota; Metazoa; Chordata; Mammalia; Primates; Hominidae.
ACAGAUGAGAAAACUGAAACAUUGAGAAGUCAAGUAACUUGCUCAAGAUUAUAUAGCUAGUGCAUAGAGGGGCAAAGAUUUGAACCAGAUUGCCUGGUUCCACAUGCACUUUAACCUGCUUUAUUUAGGCUUUUGAAAGCAACCUAAAUAGCUAACAUUGACUAAAUAAGUGCAGUAUACCUGGUCUGUGUGACAUUUUGCAGGUAUUAAAAAGUGAACAUUCUGAACCCUUUUAGCAAUAUGGCAAAUACUUCUGAUGUGAUGUAUGCAUAUAAAUAUGAUCGAAAGCAAAUAUCCCAAAAGGUUGAUGGCAGUUAUGUCAGGUUAGUAGCACAAUAGUUUCUUUUCUCAUUUUCUCACAUUUUUAGUAAUGUGUGUUGCCUAUAUUAAAAAACAAAUAUUAAAAAGUAGUAGCAUGUAUUAGAUCAGAGCAUGGGCUCAGACUGCCUGUGUCAUCUCUUAUUAGAUGUAUGACCAGGGACAAGUUAUUGACCUUUUGUUUCUAAGUCUCUAAGUUUAUCCUGUAAAAUGAAGAUAAUUGUAGUAACUACCUAAUAACAUGAUUGUAAGGAUUAAAUUAUUUAGAACACUAUUUGUUACUUGGAAAAUAUGCAAUCAUAAGCUAUUUUGUUGUUAUUGUUAUUUUACUACCAAAGCUUAUUGUUUCAGAGCCCCUAGGUGACCAGGCAAAAUGGCAGUUCCUUCCAGCUGGUCCUCAGAUGGGCACAUCUAUUAGCCUCUGCUCUUGUAAGAAGUUAGCUGCAGAACCCACAUGUGAAUCCUUGUAGGACUCUGGAGAAGAUCAAAUGGGAGCUUAGAUGUGGAAGCUCUUUGGAAACCAAGAAACACUCUGAAAAUGAAAAGGGUGGAAGAGUAAACUGUUCCUGUUUCUCCAUCUUGACAGGAAGCAGAAGUUCUCCUUAGCUGAUUUUUCUUCUUGCCUUAUACUGGGUUCUUUAACACCAGAACAAAAAUAAAUAAAUAAAAGAAUCUUCCAGAAAUUCAUGAAGAGACUUCAGGUCAGGAAAGCCUGAACUUUCUCAUCCAACACCCGUUCAAGUCGGAGGAUGCUGAUUAAUUCAUGAUGGAAAGGUAUCAAUUUCACAGCCCAGACCUCUACAUUCUUGAAAUGCUCUUCUCAUGGGAGACAUUAAAUAAGCUUUGAAUUAACUGAAUGUACAGGGUGUACCAUGAACAAUUCUGACAUGUGAUUUAAUCUAUGUGGGACUACAUUUUAAAUACAUUUGGGAAGGAUUGAACAAUGAAGUGGAGCCCAUCAAUAUUGGUACUGAAAAUGAGACAUGCCAUGACACCCAGGAUGCAGCUGUAGGAACACCACUGGGUCCCUGGAUGUCAUGUAAGCCCUUAAGUAAAAGUGCCAUCAAAUGAUUUCUCAGAAAUUAUAAAGAAACAAAAGGACCAUAAACAAGAUAAGGUGGCAUGAGGAAACAUUACAAGUACCUUUCAGAGCUGACUGGCAAAGAAACUCCUGAGGUGACGGUUCUACCCCAAUAUUACUUCUUCGAAGAGCAACCUAACUGACCUUGUAUUGAAGACAGCGUAACCCCCAAGAGGAAAGGAGCUUGGAGCCCUGAAUCAGAGUAGAAGACAGGCUGAAUGAAUACCAGCCUUGGACUGUUGUGUGAAUGAAAAACAAGUUUUGAGAUUUGUGUGGUUUAUUUAUUAUAGUUACUGUUAUUAUUAAAGUUUUUCACUGCUUUACUCUCAG